ACAACCAGCCUCGUUGCUGAGCGCUCCGCUCUUUUUGCAGCAACCAGGCAGCUUGUUCAAACCACCACAGGCAGGGGCAGAGCUUGCAGGAAGCUGAGGCUAGCUGCAAAGUUUUGCAAAAGACUCUCACUACCAAAGCCAACUGCAAAGAGUGGGUAUGGAGAUGGUGCUUCUUAUCUCUGGACAUUUUUUUUCUAUUUUGUUCUUUUGACAAAGGCUGCUAAAGAAAUAAGGCCCCAUGUAAUUUCCAGCAAUGACAAGUGAAUCAGUUCUAUUGCUUAAAAAAAAAAAAAAGAUUCCCUCAUUUUCAUAUUUCCAUAUUUAAUUUUUGCACUUGCAUGAAUGUUUCUGUUAUCUUCCAGCCACAUGUUGCUAUUUGUCUCUGUAGUGGAGGAUUUCUUUUUUUCCCCCUUCUCUCUCUUUUUUUUUUUUUUUUUCUUGACUGUGGGCUAUGUGAAGCCUGACUUGCAUGCAAAAGAUCCACAGGGAAAAAAAACCCUCCAGUCCUCAGUGAAAUAAAGAGAGCUGGCAUGCUGCAUGCUUUGUGAGACGGCUCCACGCUCACCACCACCUCGUGCAGCACGUGACGCAGACGUGCAGCACCACAUACUUCCAGAGCUACGUCAUGUGGCCAGCGCAAAGUCCCAGAGAAGAUCAACAGGCAUGGAUUCAGAAAAUGAUACUCAAGAAACACAACAGCGUGUAGUGCGUACUCACCUGAUCUGAUGCUGACCUCCCUCCUGCUCCCAUUCUUGGUUUUCUGAAACAAUAUUUACAAGCCUUUGUUCCACAGUACCCACACGCCAGCCAAGUCACCCAUCGGUGGUUCCCAAAGUUUUUACCAUGGAGUCAAUAACCUUCUCCCAUAUCAUCAUCCUUUCUUCCCCUCCUCGCUCCCUGCUGGUUGGUCAACUUCCUCCCAUUGAUUUUGGCAGCACAAGCUUGUACAGAGCACUGCUGAUAAGCCUGGCAGUUUUAUGACAUCAAGCUCCAGUUUGUGCCAUGCCUUAACUUCAAUAAAGAUGCCAUUUGUUAAGGUGUACUACCCACAUAUAAGUAUCACAAAUUCUACAUCACAUACGAAAGUGUACUAUCAUAAUGAUACAUAGUCACUGAUAAAGGUAUCUUCCAAGCAUCGACCGCCAGUAAAUAGGAUAGACUUUCUACUCCAAAUACCUUCCCUGCAGCUUGAAGCUUUGUAACAAUUCAGUGUGACUGGGAAGGGACAUGCGACACUAGCUCACAAAAUGGUCUGCUAUUUGGUCUGCCAGAAUACAAUAAUUGUUCUAAAAAGAUUACUCAUCCUCUGCCCACCUGACAUCAGCUGGCAAACCUAUCGCUUAUAUCAGCAUGACCAGCAUACACCAAAGCAAUUCAUUGUCACCUUACCUGGCAUGACACUGUUACGGUAUUUAUGAUAUGAAUAUGAGAAUCUAAAAACA
This is a long non-coding RNA of Dromaius novaehollandiae (emu), 1442 nucleotides long. RefSeq lists it as uncharacterized. Lineage: Eukaryota; Metazoa; Chordata; Aves; Casuariiformes; Dromaiidae. The record is from RefSeq and is a predicted model, not a curated record. The transcript has 3 exons.